Molecule: ribosomal RNA, 253 nt
Filed under: uncultured bacterium
Lineage: Bacteria
Description: partial 16S ribosomal RNA
Rfam family: Bacterial small subunit ribosomal RNA
Source: RNAcentral
UACGUAGGGGGCAAGCGUUGUCCGGAAUUAUUGGGCGUAAAGCGCGUGUAGGCGGUUCGGUAAGUCGGUUGUGAAAGUCCAGGGCUCAACCCUGGGAUGCCGACCGAUACUGUCGGACUAGAGUUCGGAAGAGGCGAGUGGAAUUCCCGGUGUAGCGGUGAAAUGCGCAGAUAUCGGGAGGAACACCAAUGGCGAAGGCAGCUCGCUGGGACGUUACUGACGCUGAGACGCGAAAGCGUGGGGAGCGAACGGG